This 497-nucleotide ribosomal RNA is filed under the name uncultured bacterium. RNAcentral's name for it is "partial 16S ribosomal RNA". It matches the Rfam family "Bacterial small subunit ribosomal RNA", at positions 28 to 507 of the family's 1533-position model. The record is from RNAcentral.
GAUGAACGCUGGCGGCGUGCCUAAUACAUGCAAGUCGAGCGAACGGACGAGAAGCUUCCUUUUCUGAUGUUAGCGGCGGACGGGUGAGUAACACGUGGAUAACCUACCUAUAAGACUGGGAUAACUUCGGGAAACCGGAGCUAAUACCGGAUAAUAUUUUGAACCGCAUGGUUCAAAAGUGAAAGACGGUCUUGCUGUCACUUAUAGAUGGAUCCGCGCUGCAUUAGCUAGUUGGUAAGGUAACGGCUUACCAAGGCAACGAUGCAUAGCCGACCUGAGAGGGUGAUCGGCCACACUGGAACUGAGACACGGUCCAGACUCCUACGGGAGGCAGCAGUAGGGAAUCUUCCGCAAUGGGCGAAAGCCUGACGGAGCAACGCCGCGUGAGUGAUGAAGGUCUUCGGAUCGUAAAACUCUGUUAUUAGGGAAGAACAUAUGUGUAAGUAACUGUGCACAUCUUGACGGUACCUAAUCAGAAAGCCACGGCUAACUACGUG